RNAcentral lists this ribosomal RNA (446 nucleotides) under uncultured bacterium. RNAcentral's name for it is "bacterial SSU rRNA". It matches the Rfam family "Bacterial small subunit ribosomal RNA", at positions 359 to 800 of the family's 1533-position model. The record is from RNAcentral.
GUAUUGGCAAUGGGGGCACCUUGNUCCAGCCAUGCCGCGUGUGUGAAGAAGGCCUUUUGGUUGUAAAGCACUUUAAGCAGGGAGGAGAGGCUAAUGGUUAAUACCCAUUAGAUUAGACGUUACCUGCAGAAUAAGCACCGGCUAACUCUGUGCCAGCAGCCGCGGUAAUACAGAGGGUGCGAGCGUUAAUCGGAAUUACUGGGCGUAAAGCGAGUGUAGGUGGCUCAUUAAGUCACAUGUGAAAUCCCCGGGCUUAACCUGGGAACUGCAUGUGAUACUGGUGGUGCUAGAAUAUGUGAGAGGGAAGUAGAAUUCCAGGUGUAGCGGUGAAAUGCGUAGAGAUCUGGAGGAAUACCGAUGGCGAAGCCAGCUUCCUGGCAUAAUAUUGACACUGAGAUUCGAAAGCGUGGGUAGCAAACAGGAUUAGAUACCCUGGUAGUCCAAGG